UUAGAGGGCAGCUAAAAUAUUUGAUUGAAGGGUUAAAUUGAAAAGAAAAAUAAAUCUAACAAAAAAAAUAAAAACUAAAAGAAUGAGGAACAAAUUAAAAAAAUAACACACCAUAAACUUGAAUUGAAGGAUAAAAUUAAAAACCAAUAAAAAUUUUAUAAAAUAGCUAAGGAAGAAAAAUAAAAAAAAUCAAAAGAAUAAGAAUCAAAUUAAAAAAAAACAUAAUAUAUGAUAAAUUAGAAUUGAAGGAACAAAUUAAAAAGAAAUAAAACUUUCACAAAAAGACCAAGGACAAAAAUAAAAAAUAAAAAAAAGGGACAAAAAAAUUUGAAUGGAGAUUUAAAUUGAAAAGGAAAAUAACACCA
This 365-nucleotide long non-coding RNA is filed under the name Populus trichocarpa (black cottonwood). RNAcentral's name for it is "long non-coding RNA (PTRI_LNC000667)". Lineage: Eukaryota; Viridiplantae; Streptophyta; Magnoliopsida; Malpighiales; Salicaceae. The record is from RNAcentral.